GACGAACGCUGGCGGCGUGCUUAAUACAUGCAAGUCGAACGGACAGGCCCUGCUUUUGCUGGUUUCUCGUGUGGCGAACGGGGGAGUAACACGUGUGUAACCCGCCCUUGACAUUGGGAUAACUUUACGGAACUGGGGCUAUUAUCGGAUAGGAUCUCUUGCUGCACGGUGGUGGAUGGAAAGUUUCGGCGGUUGGGGCUGGACUGGCGGCUUAUCGGCUUGUUGGUGGGGUAGUGGCUUACCAAGGCUUCGACGGGUAGCCGGCCUGGGAGGGGGACCGGGCACAAUGGGACUACGAUACGGCGCAGAAGCGUACGGGAGGCAACAGUGGGGAAUAUUGCGCAGUAGGGGGAAGCGAGAGGCGGCGACGCCGCGUGCGGGAUGACGGCCUACGGGGUGUAAACCGAUUUCUACUGUGACGAAGCGUGAGUGACGGUAAUGAGUAAGGAAGCACCGGCUAACUACGUG
RNAcentral lists this ribosomal RNA (468 nucleotides) under uncultured bacterium. RNAcentral describes it as "partial 16S ribosomal RNA". It matches the Rfam family "Bacterial small subunit ribosomal RNA", at positions 28 to 507 of the family's 1533-position model. The record is from RNAcentral.